RNAcentral lists this long non-coding RNA (503 nucleotides) under Macaca mulatta (Rhesus monkey). Its description in RNAcentral is "lncRNA (ENSMMUG00000059852.1)". Lineage: Eukaryota; Metazoa; Chordata; Mammalia; Primates; Cercopithecidae. The record is from RNAcentral.
CAAGCCUGGGCUUCUGCUCACGGGCCACGCCCACUGACCACAGGAAGGGGCCUCCCUUCUUAAAGCAGGGAGAAUAUCUGAGGCUAGUCCUGCAUCCUGGCCAGGAAUCCCAGGCCAACACCCUCCCCGCAAUCUUAGGCGCGUAGCAGCCCUGGCUGGUGACCCCUGGGUGGAGAGAGUACGGUAGUUUGCAAGAAAUCCAAGAAAGGCCUGGAGCUGCCUUCGUGUUCCGGAAGAAUUCACGUGCUAAUUUGUAGGCGGCCUGGCCAGAUGCUUCAGAGACUCCGGCAGCAUCGAAGGUGUGAUUUUAGAUCAGUGCUCCCGAGACCCUUGUGUUAUUUAAGAAGGUCAGUGUGCUUAAAUGCAUAAGAAGUAAUCUGUGUGUUAAAUGUAUGAGUUAACUGAGCAUAGCCGAAGUGAAAGUGAAUGUGUUUUCAUAUUAAAAUUAGAUUUAUAAAGAGAAUGCUAAAACUUGGUGGAUUUUGGAAUGCAAGGUCUAAGAA